CUGUCACCUUCCCAAGCUGAGGACCACCCCACCCUCGCCCCCCAACAAUCCAUGAGAGAUGGCUGCUGGGGACGGAGUGAUGCUCUUUCUUGCUGUGACCUCCUUAUCCCAACUCCUGCUGACCUUGGAGACCUGAAGAGUUACUUUCCUUACAAUCCUGAACUUCCAACUCCAAACCUAACCCUGCAUGCAGGUCACUGUCUUCGUGGAAAUCUACAGGUGGGAGGCCCUGCAGCUAGACAGCCCUUCCCGGUUGAGAAGAGGGGAGGUAAGGGAAAGGCUGAAAGAUCCGCCUAGAAGCCCAAGUGAGCAGAGUCGGAGCUAGGACCCGAAGAGGCCGAUAGAUGGCGCUCAUGGCCCAACACAGCUCCAGCAGCCCGAGGAAACCAAAGGAAAACAAGUGAGCAGGUUAACCCCUUCCCUCCUGGGCUCAGGACAGAGUUGCUGGCUGGUGGGUAUGCAGGGAGCCCUGCCCCAGGCCUGGUGCCUCAACUCUCUAGGCUCUUA
Non-coding RNA from Chlorocebus sabaeus (green monkey), 507 nucleotides. Lineage: Eukaryota; Metazoa; Chordata; Mammalia; Primates; Cercopithecidae. The record is from RefSeq and is a predicted model, not a curated record.